RNAcentral lists this ribosomal RNA (421 nucleotides) under Fusobacteriota bacterium. Its description in RNAcentral is "Fusobacteria bacterium partial 16S ribosomal RNA". It matches the Rfam family "Bacterial small subunit ribosomal RNA", at positions 355 to 776 of the family's 1533-position model. The record is from RNAcentral. Lineage: Bacteria; Fusobacteriati; Fusobacteriota.
UGGGGAAUAUUGCACAAUGGACGGAAGUUUGAUGCAGCGACGCCGCGUGGAGGGUGUAGGCCUUCGGGUUGUGAACUCCUUUUUCUCGCGAAAAAGGCUCAGUUUUGGCUGUGUUGAUGGUAGUGGGGGAAGAAGCGCCGGCUAACUACGUGCCAGCAGCCGCGGUAAUACGUAGGGCGCGAGCGUUGUCCGGAAUUAUUGGGCGUAAAGGGCUUGUAGGUGGCUGGUUGCGUCUGUCGUGAAAGCUCAUGGCUUAACUGUGGGUUUGCGGUGGGUACGGGCUGGCUUGAGUGCAGUAGGGGAGGCUGGAAUUCCUGGUGUAGCGGUGGAAUGCGCAGAUAUCAGGAGGAAUACCGGUGGCGAAGGCGGGUCUCUGGGCUGUUACUGACGCUGAGGAGCGAAAGCGUGGGGAGCGAACAGG